UCCACAGUAGCUCAUUGGUAGAGCAAUCGGCUGUUAACCGAUCGGUCGCAGGUUCGAGUCCUGCCUGUGGAGCCA
This 75-nucleotide transfer RNA is filed under the name Listeria monocytogenes. Its description in RNAcentral is "tRNA-Asn". It matches the Rfam family "tRNA". From Rfam's summary of the family: Transfer RNA (tRNA) molecules are approximately 80 nucleotides in length. Their secondary structure includes four short double-helical elements and three loops (D, anti-codon, and T loops). Lineage: Bacteria; Bacillati; Bacillota; Bacilli; Caryophanales; Listeriaceae. The record is from RNAcentral.